UGGGGAAUAUUGCACAAUGGGCGCAAGCCUGUUGCAGCCAUGCCGCGUGUAUGAAGAAGGCCUUCGGGUUGUAAAGCACUUUCAGCGGGGAGGAAGGCGAUAAGGUUAAUAACCUUGUCGAUUGACGUUACCCGCAGAAGAAGCACCGGCUAACUCCGUGCCAGCAGCCGCGGUAAUACGGAGGGUGCAAGCGUUAAUCGGAAUUACUGGGCGUAAAGCGCACGCAGGCGGUUGAUUGAGUCAGAUGUGAAAUCCCCGGGCUUAACCCGGGAAUUGCAUCUGAUACUGGUCAGCUAGAGUCUUGUAGAGGGGGGUAGAAUUCCAUGUGUAGCGGUGAAAUGCGUAGAGAUGUGGAGGAAUACCGGUGGCGAAGGCGGCCCCCUGGACAAAGACUGACGCUCAGGUGCGAAAGCGUGGGGAGCAAACAGG
This 429-nucleotide ribosomal RNA is filed under the name Chloroflexota bacterium. RNAcentral's name for it is "Chloroflexi bacterium partial 16S ribosomal RNA". It matches the Rfam family "Bacterial small subunit ribosomal RNA", at positions 355 to 776 of the family's 1533-position model. Lineage: Bacteria; Bacillati; Chloroflexota. The record is from RNAcentral.